AUCUCCAGAAGGGGCAAAAAUGUGAGGGCCCUUGAGCAGAGCUAUAACAUCCUCAAGAGACACAGAAGCUGAGAAGUCACCAGGCCAGCACAAGCAAUGGGAAACAGUUGACCUCAGUGAAUGUAAACCUUACACAUGGUAAGUGGCAAGAUACCUGUCACGUGAGUGUCUGUGAGAGGAGAACAGAAGGCCAGAGGGACCUUUCUGCUUUUCAGGUUCUCACCACCUUCAACUUAAAGUACUCAGUGUGCCCUGGGGUCAUGUCUUAGGUAGCAUGUUCUGAGCUCUGACAGGGUCUCACUAUGUACUUCAAGCUGGCCUGGACUCUAUACAUAGCCCACACUGCCUCAGCUUCCAAGUGCUGGAUUUAUAGUGACAGUGCUGUCGAAACUCUUGAAUCCCAUGUUCGGAUUACUGAAGCUCCAGGUUACUCCUGGAAGGGAACAUCCAGCCU
Molecule: long non-coding RNA, 454 nt
Organism: Octodon degus (degu)
Lineage: Eukaryota; Metazoa; Chordata; Mammalia; Rodentia; Octodontidae
Exons: 4
Source: RefSeq, a predicted model, not a curated record